This 785-nucleotide ribosomal RNA is filed under the name uncultured Friedmanniella sp. RNAcentral describes it as "bacterial SSU rRNA". It matches the Rfam family "Bacterial small subunit ribosomal RNA", at positions 82 to 879 of the family's 1533-position model. The record is from RNAcentral. Lineage: Bacteria; Bacillati; Actinomycetota; Actinomycetes; Propionibacteriales; Nocardioidaceae.
CGGGGGUACACGAGUGGCGAACGGGUGAGUAACACGUGAGCAACCUGCCCUUGACUCUGGAAUAACAGUUGGAAACAGCUGCUAAUACUGGAUAUGACCGUCCUCCUCCUGGGGGGUGGUGGAAAGCUCCGGUGGUCAGGGAUGGGCUCGCGGCCUAUCAGCUUGUUGGUGAGGUAAUGGCUCACCAAGGCUUCGACGGGUAGCCGGCCUGAGAGGGCGACCGGCCACACUGGGACUGAGAUACGGCCCAGACUCCUACGGGAGGCAGCAGUGGGGAAUAUUGCACAAUGGGCGAAAGCCUGAUGCAGCAACGCCGCGUGCGGGAUGACGGCCUUCGGGUUGUAAACCGCUUUCAGUAGGGACGAAGCUAACGUGACGGUACCUACAGAAGAAGGACCGGCUAACUACGUGCCAGCAGCCGCGGUGAUACGUAGGGUCCGAGCGUUGUCCGGAAUUAUUGGGCGUAAAGGGCUUGUAGGCGGUCCGUCGCGUCAGAAGUGAAAACUCAGGGCUUAACCCUGAGCCUGCUUUUGAUACGGGCGGACUAGAGGGAUGCAGGGGAGAACGGAAUUCCUGGUGGAGCGGUGGAAUGCGCAGAUAUCAGGAGGAACACCGGUGGCGAAGGCGGUUCUCUGGGCAUUACCUGACGCUGAGAAGCGAAAGCGUGGGGAGCAAACAGGCUUAGAUACCCUGGUAGUCCACGCCGUAAGCGGUGGGCACUAGGUGUGGGGGACAUUCCACGUUCUCCGUGCCGAAGCUAACGCAUUAAGUGCCCCGCCUGGGGA